Non-coding RNA from Salmo salar (Atlantic salmon), 1213 nucleotides. The record is from RefSeq and is a predicted model, not a curated record. NCBI's taxonomy places the organism in Eukaryota, Metazoa, Chordata, Actinopteri, Salmoniformes, Salmonidae.
GGAUGGCGAAGAGUUCCACUACAUCUCCGGUAGCAUCCACUACAACAGGAUCCCCAGGGCCUACUGCAAAGACAGGCUAGUCAAGAUGUAUAUGGCCGGACUGAACGCCAUUCAGGCGUAUGUAAACUUAGCCUGACGACUCACACUAAGUUAUUCUGCUGCUCCGUCGUUCGCUAUAUACUUUACUCUGAGACUGCCAUCAUUGAAGUCGUUUGUGGUACAUCCCCUGGAAUUUCCAUGAGCCCAACCGUAUCGGUACAACUUCAGUGGGGGGACAGGGAUCUAGAACACUUCCUGCAGUUGGCCCAAGACAUUGGUCUGCUGGCUGUACUGAGGCCUGGGCCCUACAUCUGUGGAGAGAGGGAUAUGGGGUGCUUGCCUGUCUGGCUACUCCACAAGAAAGACAUGGUCCUGCGUUCCUCAGACCCAGAUUACAUUGCGGCUGUUGACAUGUGGAUGGGCAAACUACUGCCAAUGUUAAAGGGUUCCUUUAUCAGAACAGUGGACCCGUCAUUACUGUUCAGUGGAGAGUGAGUACGGCAGCUACUUUGCCUGUGACUACAACUACCCGAGUCACCUGACCAGUCUGUUCCACACCCACCUGGGGAACGACGUUGUGCAGUUCACCAGACGGGGCCAGGGUCGGGUACCUCAAGUGUGGCUCUCUGCAGGGCCUCUACGCCACUGUGGACUUUGGCCCAGAUACAUGUUUAUUGGAGGAACCAAUUUUGGAUACUGGAAUGGUGCCUAUGCCCCCCAGCCUACUAGUUAUGACUAUGAUGCUCCGCUCACUGAGGCAGGAGACCUCACUGACAUAUUUUGCCAGGAUGUCAUCAAAAUGUAUCGGACGAUACCGGAGGGACCCGUGCUUCCAACACCUAAAUAUGCCUACGGAGUUGUGCCAAUGAAGAAGGUAGCUGCAGGAACCCUAGAGAGGGAUUAGGCCCUGACCAUCAACAUGACUGGGAAGGCUGGGGGUCAGGUGGACAUACUGGUGGAGAACAUGGGCUGAGUCAACUAUGGGAAAGACAUCAACGACUUUAAGGCAAGAUGUUAUUUAAUUGGAGUCUGGGAAACCAACCCUAAGUGUCCUAUGCGCACAUACGACUAUGAUUUUUUGACUCCCUUCCUUCCCCCUCGCUCUCUCUCCCCAUCUAUCCACCCACCCACCAACACACACACACACACACGGGCCUGGUGUCUAACCUGACAU